GAUGAAGAACGCAGCGAAAUGCGAUAAGUAAUGUGAAUUGCAGAAUUCAGUGAAUCAUCGAAUCUUAGAACGCACAUUGCGCCCGCCAGCACUCUGGCGGGCAUGCCUGUUCGAGCGUCAUUUCAACCAUCAAGCCCCCAGGGGCUUGUGCUGGGGCCCUGCGGCUGCCCGCAGGCCCUGAAAACCAGUGGCGGGCUCGCUAGUCACACCGAGCGCAGUAGCACAUCUCGCUCAGGGCGUGCGGCGGGCUCCUGCCGUGAAACCCCCCACUGUAACCCCAAAGGUUGACCUCGGAUCAGGUAGGAAUACCCGCUGAACUUAAGCAUAUCAAUAAGCGGAGGA
RNAcentral lists this unclassified non-coding RNA (342 nucleotides) under soil metagenome. Its description in RNAcentral is "partial contains 5.8S ribosomal RNA, internal transcribed spacer 2, and large subunit ribosomal RNA". The stretch from base 1 to 120 matches the Rfam family "5.8S ribosomal RNA", at positions 35 to 154 of the family's 154-position model. The record is from RNAcentral.